This is a long non-coding RNA of Myotis davidii, 256 nucleotides long. RefSeq lists it as uncharacterized. NCBI's taxonomy places the organism in Eukaryota, Metazoa, Chordata, Mammalia, Chiroptera, Vespertilionidae. The record is from RefSeq and is a predicted model, not a curated record. The transcript has 2 exons.
CCUUCCGCUGCGGCCAGAAGAUCCUGCACAAGAAAGGCAAAGUGCACUGGUACAAGGACCAGGAGCCGCUGGAGUCCUCCUACCCCGGGUACCUGGCGCUGGGCGAGGCGCACCUGAGCAUCAUCGCCAACGCCAUCAACGAGGGCACCUACACCUGCGUGGUGCGCCGGCGGCAGCGCGUGCUCACUACCUACUCCUGGCGCGUGCGCGUGCGCCCCUGAGCUCCGGCGCUGAUAAAGGUUUUCUCUCUGACGUC